GGCCAUCACCUCUUGAAUAUUUUCUUCUGAUCCAAUAUUACAAAACAUAUUUGAUAAAAGACUGGUGUUCAAGGCCGGGGCUAUAGCUCAGUUGGUAGAGUGCUUGCCUCACAUGCACAAGGCCCUGGGUUCAAUCUCCCCCCACCAAAAAAAAAAAAAAAAAAAAAAGACUGGUGUUCGCAGUAUAUAGAUAAUUCUACACCUCAAUAAAGGGACACAUACCCAAAUUAAAAUGCUGAAAAAAAAUCUGAACAGACACUUCAUAGAGAAAUGUAUGUGAGAGGCCAAUUAAUACAUUUAAGAGUUCUCAACAUCAUUAGACUCCAAAUUAAAAUCCAUGAGAUGCCACUACAGUCCCACUAGAAUGAUUAAAAUUUUUAAAAAGAUUGCUGGCACCAAAUGUCGGCAAAGAUGUGGAACAACUGGGGCUCUUGUAAAUGGCUGGUGGGAACACAAAUGGUCACAAACACUUUGGGAAGAGUUUCCUUGGCCACCCACAACGUAAGAUGUACACCCCCCCACCCUCUGACCUACAAUGCCACCUUUAAGUAUUUUCUCUAAAGAAAUCAGUGCAUAUGUCCCCAAAAGGCUUGUCCGAGUAUGUUGAUAGCUUCUUUACAAUAUCCUCCGCCUGGAGACCUCCCAGUGUUCACAAGCAGGAGCGUGGAGAAUGGUCCACACCCUGGGGCGCCCUGGGCCACGGGGGCUGCUCAUUGAUGAAAUGGGGUGGACACUAACACGCAGCACAGUGCAGAUGGACGGCGUAGAUGGGAAAUGCUAGACCCAGAGAGCAAGAAUGCUGUGAUUCCGUUUCUAGGAAUUCUACAGCAGGCAAAG
RNAcentral lists this long non-coding RNA (837 nucleotides) under Marmota monax (woodchuck). The record is from RNAcentral. Lineage: Eukaryota; Metazoa; Chordata; Mammalia; Rodentia; Sciuridae.